RNAcentral lists this ribosomal RNA (1138 nucleotides) under Neascus hanumanthai. Its description in RNAcentral is "eukaryotic LSU rRNA". The stretch from base 629 to 781 matches the Rfam family "5.8S ribosomal RNA". Lineage: Eukaryota; Metazoa; Platyhelminthes; Trematoda; Diplostomida; Diplostomidae. The record is from RNAcentral.
AAGUGUAGGGCACUGCGGGUAUUACAAGUCCCUAUCUGAAACUUACCGGAUUCGGCUUCGGCUGGUCUGAGUAUAUUGGCAUGUUGGGUCAGCAAUUGCGUUGGCUUAGCGUGUCAGGGAAUUGACGGAUGGGUUCCACUUUGUGGGCCUGCGUUAUCAUAUAUACGGGAUUGACGGACGGGCUCUCUACUUGUAGAGGGUUCGUUAUUUGUUCGGCCAUACCUGUGGUCAAUGGAUGUAUUUCCGUUGCAUCACAUAAGUACGGCCCGUUGUUGGUGGGGUGCCUAUCCUGUCUGAUACUCAUAUGGUGUGCUUGUGGCUUCGGCUGCCAGUUCAUACCUAGGGUGAUGGGAAAGUACUGUAUCUAUCUCAGUGCGAGGCUUAAUGAGGAGUCGUGACCAUGUGUCCGGCUUCCGCCCCAUCUUGUUGUUUCAAAUACCAUUUUACACUGUUUAAGUUGGUUGGGUCGGCUUGCCGAUCUGAUUAGCUGCCCAUAGCAUGCCUCCGGUUGUCUUGUAUGACUGGUACGCAUGUCCAGUCGCCUGGCGGUGCCUCAUCCUGGGCUAGACUGUAAAACCAUGUGUUCUCAUUUAUUCGGUUUACCGAGUUUGUGAGGGCAUUGUAGUACAACUCUGAGCGGUGGAUCACUCGGCUCGUGUGUCGAUGAAGAGUGCAGCCAACUGUGUGAAUUAAUGUGACCUGCGGAAUGCUUUGAACAUCGACAUCUUGAACGCAUAUUGCGGCCGCGGGAUAUCCCGUGGCCACGCCUGGCCGAGGGUCGGCUUAUCAUUUAUCACGACGCCCAAUUAGUCGUGGCUUGGAAGUUGUGCCAGCUGGCUUGUUUUCCCCAAUCAUGGGGUGCUGUGCUAUGGCUCCUUCCUAAUGUGUCCGGUUACAUCCCAACGUGGGAUUUGAUUCUCGGGUUGGGAUGUGGCGUUGGAUAUCGCAUGAGUCGUGGCUCAAUGAUUUGAUCGCGCUCAUGCCUUGUUCACGCUAUGUCCAUUUCGGUGGUCGGGUUCAAUAUAAUGGGCAAUGUAACUGAUGCGGUGGUGCUUCUGCACCCUAUAUGACCUGACCUCGGAUCAGAACGUGAAUACCCGCUGAACUUAAGCAUUUAACUUAGCCGGGGUAAGAAACA